This 551-nucleotide ribosomal RNA is filed under the name uncultured bacterium. RNAcentral's name for it is "partial 16S rRNA". It matches the Rfam family "Bacterial small subunit ribosomal RNA", at positions 355 to 896 of the family's 1533-position model. The record is from RNAcentral.
UGGGGAAUAUUGGACAAUGGGCGCAAGCCUGAUCCAGCCAUGCCGCGUGGGUGAAGAAGGCCUUCGGGUUGUAAAGCCCUUUUGUUGGGAAAGAAAAGCAGUCGGUUAAUACCCGAUUGUUCUGACGGUACCCAAAGAAUAAGCACCGGCUAACUUCGUGCCAGCAGCCGCGGUAAUACGAAGGGUGCAAGCGUUACUCGGAAUUACUGGGCGUAAAGCGUGCGUAGGUGGUGGUUUAAGUCUGUUGUGAAAGCCCUGGGCUCAACCUGGGAAUUGGAUGGGAUACUGGGGCACUAGAGUGUGGGAGAGGGGAGCGGAAUUCCCGGUGUAGCAGUGAAAUGCGUAGAGAUCGGGAGGAACAUCCGUGGCGAAGGCGGCUACCUGGACCAACACUGACACUGAGGCACGAAAGCGUGGGGAGCAAACAGGAUUAGAUACCCCCGGGGGCCCCCCCCCCAAAAAAAAAAAANUGGAUGUUGGGUGCAAUUUGGCACGCAGUAUCGAAGCUAACGCGUUAAGUUCGCCGCCUGGGGAGUACGGUCGCAAGACUG